CAGGGAUGCCCUAGUAACGGCGAGUGAAGCGGCAACAGCUCAAAUUUGAAAUCUGGCGUCUUUGGCGUCCGAGUUGUAAUUUGCAGAGGGCGCUUUGGCAUUGGCAGCGGUCCAAGUUCCUUGGAACAGGACGUCACAGAGGGUGAGAAUCCCGUACGUGGUCGCUAGCCUUUACCGUGUAAAGCCCCUUCGACGAGUCGAGUUGUUUGGGAAUGCAGCUCUAAAUGGGAGGUAAAUUUCUUCUAAAGCUAAAUACUGGCCAGAGACCGAUAGCGCACAAGUAGAGUGAUCGAAAGAUGAAAAGCACUUUGGAAAGAGAGUUAAAAAGCACGUGAAAUUGUUGAAAGGGAAGCGCUUGCAGCCAGACUUGCCUGUAGUUGCUCAUCCGGGUUUUUACCCGGUGCACUCUUCUAUAGGCAGGCCAGCAUCAGUUUGGGCGGUUGGAUAAAGGUCUCUGUCAUGUACCUCUCUUCGGGGAGAACUUAUAGGGGAGACGACAUGCAACCAGCCUGGACUGAGGUCCGCGCAUCUGCUAGGAUGCUGGCGUAAUGGCUGUAAGCGGCCCGUCUUGAAACACGGACCAAGGAGUCUAACAUCUAUGCGAGUGUUUGGGUGUCAAGCCCGAGCGCGUAAUGAAAGUGAACGGAGGUGGGAACCCCUCGGGGUGCACCAUCGACCGAUCCUGAUGUCUUCGGAUGGA
This 700-nucleotide ribosomal RNA is filed under the name Juxtiphoma eupyrena. RNAcentral describes it as "partial large subunit ribosomal RNA". It matches the Rfam family "Eukaryotic large subunit ribosomal RNA", at positions 69 to 788 of the family's 3401-position model. Lineage: Eukaryota; Fungi; Ascomycota; Dothideomycetes; Pleosporales; Didymellaceae. The record is from RNAcentral.